AUAAACUUUGGGGUCUCGCAAUUCUGGCUACGAGCUAGGUUGAACGAGUAAGAAUUUUCAAGAAGAAAAUAAAAAUUUUCCGGGGAAAAAAUAUUUCCGGGGAAAAAGACAAAAUAGGCACUAUUCACCCAACAAAACCUAAGGGUUAGGGUUUGAAUAACCUAAGCCAUUCUGAGAGUUCGGUAUGUCGAAAUGACAUUCUGUUAAAAGAUUUACCGAAAAUAUGUCGUGAAAAGUUAAGUAAGCUGAAAAAAAGUUUUUCUCGAAA
This 268-nucleotide long non-coding RNA is filed under the name Panax ginseng (ginseng). RNAcentral describes it as "long non-coding RNA (PGIN_LNC009037)". Lineage: Eukaryota; Viridiplantae; Streptophyta; Magnoliopsida; Apiales; Araliaceae. The record is from RNAcentral.